RNAcentral lists this non-coding RNA (23 nucleotides) under Arabidopsis thaliana (thale cress). The record is from RNAcentral. Lineage: Eukaryota; Viridiplantae; Streptophyta; Magnoliopsida; Brassicales; Brassicaceae.
UAACUGAAAAAGCGGAGGUGUCA